CAACAGCGUAUAUUUAAGUUGUUGCAGUUAAAAAGCUCGUAGUCGGAUUUUGGCUGAGAACGAUCGGUCCGCCGUUAGGUGUGCACUGAUUGGUCUCAGCUUCCUGGUGAGGAGGUGUGCUUCACGGCCACUUAGUCACCGUGGUUACUUUGAAAAAAUUAGAGUGUUCAAAGCGGGCUUACGCUUGAAUAUAUUAGCAUGGAAUAACACCAUAGGACUCCUGUCCUAUUUCGUUGGUCACGGGACGGGAGUAAUGAUUAAGAGGAACAGUUGGGGGCAUUCGUAUUUCAUUGUCAGAGGUGAAAUUCUUGGAUUUAUGAAAGACGAACUUCUGCGAAAGCAUUUGCCAAGGAUGUUUUCAUUGA
This 365-nucleotide ribosomal RNA is filed under the name uncultured eukaryote. RNAcentral describes it as "partial 18S ribosomal RNA". It matches the Rfam family "Eukaryotic small subunit ribosomal RNA", at positions 592 to 976 of the family's 1831-position model. The record is from RNAcentral.